AAGAAUGAGUAGUUCCUAGGAAUUCAUGUGGCUACACACAAGAGAGACCUGCAUGGAAUGGUCUUAGAUCAUGUCCAAAAGAGGUGAGCAGAUCUAAGCAGAGAGCCGCUGGAGAUAGUGCUGGACUCCCAGGACUGGAGGAAAGGAGUAAGAGUCAGCUAAAACAGCUGUGAAAUUGCAGGUGACCCCAUGGUGAUGGAAGGACAUCAAAUAACCCUUGAAAGCAUCACAGAAGAGUCACUUGUGAACAUCUGACAACUUCAGAAAAAGUCAAUGAUAAAAUCAACAAGAGCAGUCUGAGCUGGAGGAGAAAGAGAAGCUUUCAUUUCAAUUGAAAUAUACUUUUACAUGGAACUACA
This is a long non-coding RNA of Herpailurus yagouaroundi (jaguarundi), 359 nucleotides long. RefSeq lists it as uncharacterized. The transcript has 2 exons. The record is from RefSeq and is a predicted model, not a curated record. NCBI's taxonomy places the organism in Eukaryota, Metazoa, Chordata, Mammalia, Carnivora, Felidae.